AUCAUAAAACUGCGUGAGCGCACCAAACACCUAAAAUUGUAAUACUACCAGUCACUAAGUUUUAACAAAACAAAACUUUCAACAACGGAUCUCUUGGUUCUCGCAUCGAUGAAGAGCGCAGCGAAAUGCGAUACCUAGUGUGAAUUGCAGCCAUCGUGAAUCAUCGAGUUCUUGAACGCACAUUGCGCCCCAUGGUAUUCCAUGGGGCAUGCCUGUCUGAGCGUCGUUUCCUUCUUGCGCAAGCAGAGUUGAGAACAGGCUAUGCCUUUUUCGAAAUGGAACGUCGUGGACGAAGUGAACUAAAUUUUUAGCACGCUUUGGCCGCCGAACUUUUAACUAAGCUCGACCUCAGAUCAGGUAGGAAUACCCGCUGAACUUAAGCAUAUCAAUAAGCGGAGGAA
RNAcentral lists this ribosomal RNA (401 nucleotides) under Pichia fermentans. Its description in RNAcentral is "partial 18S ribosomal RNA". The stretch from base 74 to 226 matches the Rfam family "5.8S ribosomal RNA". Lineage: Eukaryota; Fungi; Ascomycota; Pichiomycetes; Pichiales; Pichiaceae. The record is from RNAcentral.